CCUACGGGAGGCAGCAGUGAGGAAUAUUGGUCAAUGGGCGGGAGCCUGAACCAGCCAAGUCGCGUGAGGGAAGACGGUCCUAUGGAUUGUAAACCUCUUUAGGCGGGGAGCAAUGCCGGGCACGUGUGCCCGGAGGGAGAGUACCCGCAGAAUAAGCAUCGGCUAACUCCGUGCCAGCAGCCGUGGUAAUAGGGAGGAUGCGAGCGUUAUCGGUAUUUAGUGGGUUUAAAGGGUGCGUAGGCGGAUUUUUAAGUCAGCGGUAAAGUGUCCGGGCUCCAGCCGGGCCGGCCGUUGAAACUGGGUAUCUUGAGUGGGCGAGAAGUAGGCGGAAUGCGUGGUGUAGCGGUGAAAUGCAUAGAUAUCACGCAGAACUCCGAUUGCGAAGGCAGCAUACCGGCGCCCGACUGACGCUGAGGCACGAAAGCGUGGGUAUCGAACAGGAUUAGAUACCCGGGUAGUC
Molecule: ribosomal RNA, 460 nt
Filed under: uncultured bacterium
Lineage: Bacteria
Description: partial 16S ribosomal RNA
Rfam family: Bacterial small subunit ribosomal RNA
Source: RNAcentral